RNAcentral lists this small RNA (348 nucleotides) under Pongo abelii (Sumatran orangutan). The record is from RNAcentral. Lineage: Eukaryota; Metazoa; Chordata; Mammalia; Primates; Hominidae.
GCUGGGCACGGUGGCACAUGACUGUAAUCCCAGUUACUUGGGAGCCUGAGACAGGAGAAUCACUUGAACCCAAGAGGCAGAGGUUGCGGGAGCCGAGAUCAUACCACUGCGCUCCAGCCUGGGUGACAGAGCGAGACUCCAUUUCAAACAAACAAACCAAAAAAAAACAUUGGUGACCUCUGGGGAGCGGGGACCAUCAGGUUGCCCAAGGAGGGAUGAACCUGGGAGGUGAACUGGCCCAGAUCAGAAAUAGAGCAGGUCAAAAACUCCUGUGCUGAUCAGUAGUGGGAUCUGCUUGUGAAUAGCCACUGCACUGUAGCCUGGGCAACAUAGUGAGACAUUGUCUAU